CCUACGGGGGGCAGCAGUGGGGGAUAUUGCACAAUGGGGGGAACCCUGAUGCAGCGACGCCGCGUGAGGGAAGAAGGUUUUCGGAUUGUAAACCUCUGUCUUUGGUGACGAGAGUGACGGUAGCCAAGGAGGAAGCCACGGCUAACUACGUGCCAGCAGCCGCGGUAAUACGUAGGUGGCAAGCGUUGUCCGGAAUUACUGGGUGUAAAGGGAGCGUAGGCGGGAGAUCAAGUUGGACGUUAAAUUCAUCGGCUCAACCGGUGCAAGCGUUCAAAACUGGUUUUCUUGAGUGGAGUAGAGGUAAG
Molecule: ribosomal RNA, 305 nt
Filed under: uncultured bacterium
Lineage: Bacteria
Description: bacterial SSU rRNA
Rfam family: Bacterial small subunit ribosomal RNA
Source: RNAcentral